GACGAACGCUGGCGGCGUGCUUAACACAUGCAAGUCGAACGAAAAGAGGGAAAGAGCUUGCUCUUUCCGGAAUUGAGUGGCAAACGGGUGAGUAACACGUAAACAACCUGCCUUCAGGAUGGGGACAACAGACGGAAACGACUGCUAAUACCGAAUAAGUUCCAAGGGCCGCAUGGCCCAUGGAAGAAAAGGUGGCCUCUACCUGUAAGCUAUCGCCUGAAGAGGGGUUGGCGUCUGAUUAGCUGGUUGGAGGGGUAACGGCCCACCAAGGCGACGAUCAGUAGCCGGUCUGAGAGGAUGAACGGCCACACUGGCACUGAGACACGGUCCAGACUCCUACGGGAGGCAGCAGUGGGGAAUCUUCCGCAAUGGGCGAAAGCCUGACGGAGCAACGCCGCGUGAGUGAUGACGGCCUUCGGGUUGUAAAACUCUGUGAUCCGGGACGAAAAGGCAGAGUGCGAAGAACAAACUGCAUUGACGGUACCGGAAAAGCAAGCCACGGCUAACUACGUG
This 513-nucleotide ribosomal RNA is filed under the name uncultured bacterium. RNAcentral's name for it is "partial 16S ribosomal RNA". It matches the Rfam family "Bacterial small subunit ribosomal RNA", at positions 28 to 507 of the family's 1533-position model. The record is from RNAcentral.